AAUAGGAGCAAACACCUACUCCUUUUCCCGUGUUUAAAGUAUACAGCAAUCGAUAUCACUGACGGAGAGACUCGAAGACUGUAAAAGCAGCACGAAGUCUUUCCUCCGUCGCUUCUUUCGUUCUGUCCUCGGACUCGGUGAAUACAUACAUGGGAAGUAGAUCUGGGGAGUCAGCCACUGGAGAUCCACAGAGUCCAUCGGGUUUUGGUGGUAGUAGCAACAGGAAUACCAGUAGCUUCCUGUGCAACAUAUGCUUGGAUCCCGCUCAAGAGCCCGUCGUCACCCUCUGCGGUCACCUUUUCUGCUGGCCCUGCCUGUAUGAAUGGCUUCAUGGCCACUCCAGCUCUUCCGAGUGUCCCGUCUGCAAGGCCACUGUUGAGGAGGUGGAUAUUAUCCCACUGUACAGUGGAGGAAAUAGCCCCGCCGACCCACAGUCCAGGUCGAUCGAUGGUACCGACAUUCCCAGCCGACCGGCAGCUGGUCGGAGGUCGGCAAGAGCCCAACAACCACAACCUGACAUGACCAGUUUCCAUCAGCACAACGUGAACCAUGUCCAUCACCUCAACAACCAUUACCCAUGGCCAGUGGGCUGGAAUCAGGUGGCUGGCAUGAGGCAUGGUGACUUCUCAUUUCCGGCAGCAACUGCCGGUGGUGUUCCUGCUUCUUUGCACCAAGGUUAUGCCAAUGUGUUUCACUGUUGGAAUGCUCAUGGAAUCCACCAAGGUCAUGGCCAGCUUGCUCAUGGGUUCUACCAGGGUCAUGGACAUCAUGCUCAUGGGUUCUGGCGACACCCAAAUCAUAGACAACGGGCUAAUGUCAUCUGGAACAUGCUUUUCUUCUUGUUUGUGGCGCUGGCAAUUGCUAAUACAGUAUCACGGAUGCUUCUGUAAAUGUUUGAUCCUUUCACAUAUGCCCGCAUCAUCAUUAUCGAUUCACAGAAGUCUGAUCAACUGGUGUCCGGUUGAGGUUGAAAUAAGGUUUUGUUUAGGUUAAAUUGCACUAUCUCUUUACCUUUCCCUUAUUUGUGACUCAAUCUUAAAGAUUACAAAAGCAUGUACUUAUUGGAUCCAUUUUUUCUUUUUUGAGGUGAGUAACUUUUUUCUUUAA
Long non-coding RNA from Musa acuminata AAA Group (dessert banana), 1107 nucleotides. RefSeq lists it as uncharacterized. Lineage: Eukaryota; Viridiplantae; Streptophyta; Magnoliopsida; Zingiberales; Musaceae. The record is from RefSeq and is a predicted model, not a curated record. The transcript is spliced from 2 exons.